UUCGUAGGCGGAUUAAUAAGUCAGUGGUGAAAUCUUUCGGCUCAACCGAGAAACUGCCAUUGAUACUGUUAAUCUUGAGUUCGGUUGAGGUAGGCGGAAUGUGUAAUGUAGCGGUGAAAUGCUUAGAUAUUACACAGAACACCAAUUGCGUAGGCAGCUUACUAGACCGACACUGACGCUGAGGCACGAAAGCGUGGGGAGCGAACAGGAUUAGAUACCCUGGUAGUCC
This 229-nucleotide ribosomal RNA is filed under the name uncultured bacterium. Its description in RNAcentral is "partial 16S ribosomal RNA". It matches the Rfam family "Bacterial small subunit ribosomal RNA", at positions 568 to 796 of the family's 1533-position model. The record is from RNAcentral.